Molecule: ribosomal RNA, 496 nt
Filed under: uncultured bacterium
Lineage: Bacteria
Description: partial 16S ribosomal RNA
Rfam family: Bacterial small subunit ribosomal RNA
Source: RNAcentral
AUGAACGCUGGCGGCGUGCCUAAUACAUGCAAGUCGAGCGCACGGACGAGAAGCUUGCUUCUCUGAUGUUAGCGGCGGACGGGUGAGUAACACGUGGAUAACCUACCUAUAAGACUGGGAUAACUUCGGGAAACCGGAGCUAAUACCGGAUGAUAUUUUGAACCGCAUGGUUCAAAAGUGAAAGACGGUCUUGCUGUCACUUAUAGAUGGAUCCGCGCUGCAUUAGCUAGUUGGUAAGGUAACGGCUUACCAAGGCAACGAUGCAUAGCCGACCUGAGAGGGUGAUCGGCCACACUGGAACUGAGGCACGGUCCAGACUCCUACGGGAGGCAGCAGUAGGGAAUCUUCCGCAAUGGGCGAAAGCCUGACGGAGCAACGCCGCGUGAGUGAUGAAGGUCUUCGGAUCUUAAAACUCUGUUAUUAGGGAAGAACAUAUGUGUAAGUAACUGUGCACAUCUUGACGGUACCUAAUCAGAAAGCCACGGCUAACUACGUG